Molecule: unclassified non-coding RNA, 358 nt
Filed under: soil metagenome
Description: partial contains 5.8S ribosomal RNA, internal transcribed spacer 2, and large subunit ribosomal RNA
Rfam family: 5.8S ribosomal RNA (bases 1-120)
Source: RNAcentral
GAUGAAGAACGUAGCGAAAUGCGAUAAGUAAUGUGAAUUGCAGAAUUCAGUGAAUCAUCGAAUCUUUGAACGCACAUUGCGCCCGCCAGUAUUCUGGCGGGCAUGCCUGUCCGAGCGUCAUUUCAACCCUCGAACCCCUCCGGGGGGUCGGCGUUGGGGACCUCGGGAGCCCCUAAGACGGGAUCCCGGCCCCGAAAUACAGUGGCGGUCUCGCCGCAGCCUCUCCUGCGCAGUAGUUUGCACAACUCGCACCGGGAGCGCGGCACGUCCACGUCCGUAAAACACCCAACUUCUGAAAUGUUGACCUCGGAUCAGGUAGGAAUACCCGCUGAACUUAAGCAUAUCAAUAAGCGGAGGA